CAUUGGGGUAGCCUAGAAAAGGAGCAGAAAUAGUUUUGCAACGAAGGCAGGCUCAAAGAAUGAAUGUCUCAGCAGUGAUCUCUCCACUGCUCUGGCAGCAGCACUAGGAAACUAAGGAUCACAAUGCAGAGAACAAGGAUGUUAAUUCUGCCUAAAUAACAGACCACGUUUCCUCUACCCGGCUGUUCUGGGGAGCUAAUUACACAGACUCCCAAAUCAAAGAAAUAUAAAACAGUCUGCAAAUGACUGCAAUGUUGAUGUGUUGGCAGUCCAAACCAUGACAUAUGGUCCUUCAGUUUGCCAUCCUAGAGAACAAGCUCACGAGCAACCCUUGUUACGCAAAAUUAUGUCAUAAAUAACAGAAAGAGGCUGACUUUAGAAAUGAGCUUGAGGUGACCUCCCACCUUAGCCCCACGAGAGACAGAGCUGCUGCCAGCCUGGUCAUAGGUCCCCAAAUGUACCUCCCUUGAGGGGGAAGGAAGGUGAAUCAUAUCCAGGCAGGAUCCUGGCUCAGUCAAUACCCACACACAAACGUUGCACUCAGGUCACAAAGCCCAAGAUUUCGGCACCAACACCGGCUGGACAUGUGUGUCCCACCAGCCCUGCUCCAAGACCGCUCCGCAGCCGUGUGCCAGUCCCUGAGGCACUCAUCAGCAGGAUCCGGACCUUGAGGUCAUCACUGGACCCCCAUCACGGACCUCAUGGAGUGAGGGACACCUGCACACAGCAGGGGAGGAGAGGGAUGAGACACCAGCAUGCCAAGGGCUUUCACACGCCCUCACCCACAGCAGCCGGUGCAGGUUCCUCACUCCGGUCCCAGCUGAAGAGAGGUGACACAGCUAUAACUGGACCCUGGCAACGGGAAGACAGAGAGAGCUCCAGAAGGCAGCCAGGGGGCAUGUGCUUGGGGUUUCUGAUUUGGUCUCUCUUUGUCUGGAGGUAAAAGUGAAGUGCCAGGACUCCCAGGAAAACGACAAAGCACGAAGAUGAACUGCAGGGAUUCAGCCAGUGACAAGGUAAUGAAUGAGGUAGGGAGGAAACUCUGCCUGGAAGACUCUUCUGUUCAUCUGCAGCUGGAUGAAUUAUGCCUCCCAAUAACCCACUGACAGCAGGGUGGGCUUGAGAUUUUCUGCAGUGUCCAAUGAAGUACAAGAUUCAGCACUAAUCUGUG
RNAcentral lists this long non-coding RNA (1171 nucleotides) under Corvus moneduloides (New Caledonian crow). RNAcentral's name for it is "lncRNA (ENSCMUG00000019516.1)". Lineage: Eukaryota; Metazoa; Chordata; Aves; Passeriformes; Corvidae. The record is from RNAcentral.